This 2930-nucleotide ribosomal RNA is filed under the name Escherichia coli. RNAcentral's name for it is "23S ribosomal RNA". It matches the Rfam family "Bacterial large subunit ribosomal RNA". The record is from RNAcentral. Lineage: Bacteria; Pseudomonadati; Pseudomonadota; Gammaproteobacteria; Enterobacterales; Enterobacteriaceae.
GGGUUGUGAGGUUAAGCGACUAAGCGUACACGGUGGAUGCCCUGGCAGUCAGAGGCGAUGAAGGACGUGCUAAUCUGCGAUAAGCGUCGGUAAGGUGAUAUGAACCGUUAUAACCGGCGAUUUCCGAAUGGGGAAACCCAGUGUGAUUCGUCACACUAUCAUUAACUGAAUCCAUAGGUUAAUGAGGCGAACCGGGGGAACUGAAACAUCUAAGUACCCCGAGGAAAAGAAAUCAACCGAGAUUCCCCCAGUAGCGGCGAGCGAACGGGGAGGAGCCCAGAGCCUGAAUCAGUGUGUGUGUUAGUGGAAGCGUCUGGAAAGGCGCGCGAUACAGGGUGACAGCCCCGUACACAAAAAUGCACAUGCUGUGAGCUCGAUGAGUAGGGCGGGACACGUGGUAUCCUGUCUGAAUAUGGGGGGACCAUCCUCCAAGGCUAAAUACUCCUGACUGACCGAUAGUGAACCAGUACCGUGAGGGAAAGGCGAAAAGAACCCCGGCGAGGGGAGUGAAAAAGAACCUGAAACCGUGUACGUACAAGCAGUGGGAGCACGCUUAGGCGUGUGACUGCGUACCUUUUGUAUAAUGGGUCAGCGACUUAUAUUCUGUAGCAAGGUUAACCGAAUAGGGGAGCCGAAGGGAAACCGAGUCUUAACUGGGCGUUAAGUUGCAGGGUAUAGACCCGAAACCCGGUGAUCUAGCCAUGGGCAGGUUGAAGGUUGGGUAACACUAACUGGAGGACCGAACCGACUAAUGUUGAAAAAUUAGCGGAUGACUUGUGGCUGGGGGUGAAAGGCCAAUCAAACCGGGAGAUAGCUGGUUCUCCCCGAAAGCUAUUUAGGUAGCGCCUCGUGAAUUCAUCUCCGGGGGUAGAGCACUGUUUCGGCAAGGGGGUCAUCCCGACUUACCAACCCGAUGCAAACUGCGAAUACCGGAGAAUGUUAUCACGGGAGACACACGGCGGGUGCUAACGUCCGUCGUGAAGAGGGAAACAACCCAGACCGCCAGCUAAGGUCCCAAAGUCAUGGUUAAGUGGGAAACGAUGUGGGAAGGCCCAGACAGCCAGGAUGUUGGCUUAGAAGCAGCCAUCAUUUAAAGAAAGCGUAAUAGCUCACUGGUCGAGUCGGCCUGCGCGGAAGAUGUAACGGGGCUAAACCAUGCACCGAAGCUGCGGCAGCGACGCUUAUGCGUUGUUGGGUAGGGGAGCGUUCUGUAAGCCUGUGAAGGUGUGCUGUGAGGCAUGCUGGAGGUAUCAGAAGUGCGAAUGCUGACAUAAGUAACGAUAAAGCGGGUGAAAAGCCCGCUCGCCGGAAGACCAAGGGUUCCUGUCCAACGUUAAUCGGGGCAGGGUGAGUCGACCCCUAAGGCGAGGCCGAAAGGCGUAGUCGAUGGGAAACAGGUUAAUAUUCCUGUACUUGGUGUUACUGCGAAGGGGGGACGGAGAAGGCUAUGUUGGCCGGGCGACGGUUGUCCCGGUUUAAGCGUGUAGGCUGGUUUUCCAGGCAAAUCCGGAAAAUCAAGGCUGAGGCGUGAUGACGAGGCACUACGGUGCUGAAGCAACAAAUGCCCUGCUUCCAGGAAAAGCCUCUAAGCAUCAGGUAACAUCAAAUCGUACCCCAAACCGACACAGGUGGUCAGGUAGAGAAUACCAAGGCGCUUGAGAGAACUCGGGUGAAGGAACUAGGCAAAAUGGUGCCGUAACUUCGGGAGAAGGCACGCUGAUAUGUAGGUGAAGUCCCUCGCGGAUGGAGCUGAAAUCAGUCGAAGAUACCAGCUGGCUGCAACUGUUUAUUAAAAACACAGCACUGUGCAAACACGAAAGUGGACGUAUACGGUGUGACGCCUGCCCGGUGCCGGAAGGUUAAUUGAUGGGGUCAGCGCAAGCGAAGCUCUUGAUCGAAGCCCCGGUAAACGGCGGCCGUAACUAUAACGGUCCUAAGGUAGCGAAAUUCCUUGUCGGGUAAGUUCCGACCUGCACGAAUGGCGUAAUGAUGGCCAGGCUGUCUCCACCCGAGACUCAGUGAAAUUGAACUCGCUGUGAAGAUGCAGUGUACCCGCGGCAAGACGGAAAGACCCCGUGAACCUUUACUAUAGCUUGACACUGAACAUUGAGCCUUGAUGUGUAGGAUAGGUGGGAGGCUUAGAAGUGUGGACGCCAGUCUGCAUGGAGCCGACCUUGAAAUACCACCCUUUAAUGUUUGAUGUUCUAACGUUGACCCGUAAUCCGGGUUGCGGACAGUGUCUGGUGGGUAGUUUGACUGGGGCGGUCUCCUCCUAAAGAGUAACGGAGGAGCACGAAGGUUGGCUAAUCCUGGUCGGACAUCAGGAGGUUAGUGCAAUGGCAUAAGCCAGCUUGACUGCGAGCGUGACGGCGCGAGCAGGUGCGAAAGCAGGUCAUAGUGAUCCGGUGGUUCUGAAUGGAAGGGCCAUCGCUCAACGGAUAAAAGGUACUCCGGGGAUAACAGGCUGAUACCGCCCAAGAGUUCAUAUCGACGGCGGUGUUUGGCACCUCGAUGUCGGCUCAUCACAUCCUGGGGCUGAAGUAGGUCCCAAGGGUAUGGCUGUUCGCCAUUUAAAGUGGUACGCGAGCUGGGUUUAGAACGUCGUGAGACAGUUCGGUCCCUAUCUGCCGUGGGCGCUGGAGAACUGAGGGGGGCUGCUCCUAGUACGAGAGGACCGGAGUGGACGCAUCACUGGUGUUCGGGUUGUCAUGCCAAUGGCACUGCCCGGUAGCUAAAUGCGGAAGAGAUAAGUGCUGAAAGCAUCUAAGCACGAAACUUGCCCCGAGAUGAGUUCUCCCUGACCCUUUAAGGGUCCUGAAGGAACGUUGAAGACGACGACGUUGAUAGGCCGGGUGUGUAAGCGCAGCGAUGCGUUGAGCUAACCGGUACUAAUGAACCGUGAGGCUUAACCUUACAACGCCGAAGCUGUU